UUACUCUCUAUAUUAGCUUCAAUUAUCUCCUAUAAGAAAAAGUAAAAACUUGAAAAGUGUCAAAUUAAGCAUCAUACAAUAACAUAAGUAGAAAAGUAAGAAGUGCAUGUGUAACUUUGACAGUGAUUCAAUAGUUAAACAAACAAAUAGAAGAAUCAGUGUAAACCAGCAUUGUGUGAGUUCUAAUGGUACCUAUACAUACCCACUAAAUAGCCUCUUUCAUUGACUAGUU
RNAcentral lists this long non-coding RNA (232 nucleotides) under Carica papaya (papaya). RNAcentral's name for it is "long non-coding RNA (CPAP_LNC016634)". The record is from RNAcentral. Lineage: Eukaryota; Viridiplantae; Streptophyta; Magnoliopsida; Brassicales; Caricaceae.